This 484-nucleotide ribosomal RNA is filed under the name uncultured bacterium. RNAcentral's name for it is "bacterial SSU rRNA". It matches the Rfam family "Bacterial small subunit ribosomal RNA", at positions 30 to 509 of the family's 1533-position model. The record is from RNAcentral.
UUGAACGCUGGCGGCGUGCUUAACACAUGCAAGUCGAACGGAGCGCUCGUGAUGGAGUUUUCGGACAACGGAUCGGGCUGCUUAGUGGCGGACGGGUGAGUAACGCGUGAGCAAUCUGCCUUGGAGUGGGGAAUAACACAGGGAAACUUGUGCUAAUACCGCAUGAUGCAGCUGCACCGCAUGGUGGUGGUUGCCAAAGAUUUAUCGCUCUGAGAUGAGCUCGCGUCUGAUUAGCUAGUUGGCGGGGUAACGGCCCACCAAGGCGACGAUCAGUAGCCGGACUGAGAGGUUGGCCGGCCACAUUGGGACUGAGACACGGCCCAGACUCCUACGGGAGGCAGCAGUGGGGAAUAUUGGGCAAUGGGCGCAAGCCUGACCCAGCAACGCCGCGUGAAGGAAGAAGGCCCUCGGGUUGUAAACUUCUUUUAACAGGGACGAAGGAAGUGACGGUACCUGUUGAAUAAGCCACGGCUAACUACGUGCC